AGGACGAACGCUGGCGGCGUGCUUAACACAUGCAAGUCGAGCGGUAAGGCUCCUUUGGGAGUACACGAGCGGCGAACGGGUGAGUAACACGUGAGCAAUCUGCCCUUCACAUUGGAAUAACUUUCGGAAACGGAAGCUAAUACCGAAUACGACCACCGAUGGCAUCUUCUGGUGGUGGAAAGUUCCGGCGGUGAAGGAUGAGCUCGCGGCCUAUCAGCUUGUUGGUGGGGUAAUGGCCUACCAAGGCGACGACGGGUAGCCGGCCUGAGAGGGUGACCGGCCACACUGGGACUGAGACACGGCCCAGACUCCUACGGGAGGCAGCGGUGGGGAAUAUUGGACAAUGGGCGAAAGCCUGAUCCAGCAACGCGCGUGAGGGAUGACGGCCUUCGGGUUGUAAACCUCUUUCAGCAGGACGAAGCGAAAGUGACGGUACCUGCAGAAGAAGCACCGGCCAACUACGUGCCAGCAGCCGC
RNAcentral lists this ribosomal RNA (476 nucleotides) under uncultured soil bacterium. RNAcentral describes it as "bacterial SSU rRNA". It matches the Rfam family "Bacterial small subunit ribosomal RNA", at positions 26 to 518 of the family's 1533-position model. The record is from RNAcentral.